Rhincodon typus (whale shark) is the source of this 13704-nucleotide long non-coding RNA. RefSeq lists it as uncharacterized. Lineage: Eukaryota; Metazoa; Chordata; Chondrichthyes; Orectolobiformes; Rhincodontidae. The transcript is spliced from 5 exons. The record is from RefSeq and is a predicted model, not a curated record.
UUUGUUUUUGUUCCUGAUUUACAACAUCUGCAGUUCUUUCGGUUUUUAUUAAGUGAUUUUUCGGGAUGAAUUGACAACUUCAUAAGUGUCCUUUUCAUAUCAAAUAGUGUGAGGAGAGGAGGAAAAAUAACAUUUUUAAACCAAACUUGUUGCAAAGAAUUUUAUACAAUACAGUGUAUAAUAGUCACCUUUUCAUCUUACAUCUGUCUCUGACCAGAAAGUGCCAUUUAGUCAUUGCCAAAAGAAGGUGGAACAUGGAAAAGAGUAUUUGCCUGCCUGUUCAUUUUGUUUUUCAGUUCCUUUCAUGGUAGGCUGCUGGCUGCAUACAUUAUAUUCUGUUUUUACAUACUGCCUUGCUUAAUAUUAUUUCCCAGCCUUCUGUUUUGCAUCUCAAGAUCCUUUGAGGUUUUACACCCACAUAAAAACAAGCUUCUGUAGCACAUUUUCAGUCAAGAAAGUGCUGUUCUCCAUCAGAUAACAUCGGCAAAAGUGAUAAUAUUCUGUCAUCCUCCAGAAUGCUAAUAAAUAGAACUAGAAAAUCUUCCACUCUGUCUUUUGUUCAAAAUGUUCUGACUUAAAUAAAAUCUAGGUUUUUAUUCUUAUUUGGGGCAUCGAUUGCUAGAGUUCUGUAAAUGUAAAAGGAAUUGGGAGUCUUAAACUCUUUUAAAAACUCACCUGUCAGUAUGAAGAAUUUCUAUUAACUCGAAAAGUCUUUGGGAGGUUUUCUGGGGUUGUGGGGUGUGGAGAGAGGUGGGGAAUGUGCCAGGCCCAGUUCAAGGUAUAUUAACAAAUUAAGGGGAACAGGCCAGCAGGGGGUUUCUUACGGGUUGAAGGAGCUAAAAAUAAAUUGACAUCAGUAGAGACAUUAAAUAAAAGAGUCUUCAUCAGUCAUGUGUUCUCAGCUGUGGAAUAUAAAUGUUAUCCCUCAUGAUCCUCAGGUUAGUAUUUCAGCCUAGCCAGCCAUCAAAACUUACUGUUAAUUAGUUGAAACAGAGAAAAAGAAUAACAUCCUUGGUAGUAAAGUCUUGGCAAUAUUUUGAUAUUGAGCAAAAAAAAAUUGGGAUCCUUCAAUCAACCCUCAUCUUUUAAGCCACAUAUUGAGAGAUUGGAAGUCCUGAGCACAAAAACAAUUACACGUGUGAUACUUUCAAAUUAAUCCCUCUGCCAGAUGAAUAAGACUGAAAAUUCAAACUUUUUUUUCACAUACACACAAUGACACAAUAAGUACCAUCUGGAACAGUCUUACAUUACACUGGCCCAUUAACCACACCAUUCUACUCCUUGACAUAAGUUGAUCAAUUAAAACAUGUACUCCAUCAUGUUGGCAGUUUACAGUAAACCACAAGUAACAUUUACAGUUAGCUCCCUUACAGCAUUAAGGUGACACAGAGUUGCUUGUCACUUUUUUUCAAAUUCCACUCUGCCUCCUUUCUCCUGCUUCCUUUGACAGAAGUUUGACGCAUUUUUAUAAUCACAUUCCAAUAUAACUACUAAUCAAGAGAAAAAUUUCCACUGAAAGCAACAAAUGAACCAGAUGGAUACUCCAAUGGAUAGGCAUUUCAAGUCAAAACAAGUCACUGAGGCAAGAUAAUUCUGCCUGCUGAAGAAUUAGUCAUUAUUAGCAUGUAAUAUCAAUUGCACCCUAUGCAGGCCUUUCAAACAGCUGUUGAUUCAUUGAUUUCUUGUGUUUCACAAGAUUGCACCUGGCAAAUCCCCCAACUGAUGGCCCAGAGUUGACUUGUUCUUAAACAGUUAUAUCUCAACUGAUAUCUAGUCAAAGUUUAGACCAGGAAAAUUUCUUCCAUAAACAACUUUGUAAACUAUAUGAAAGUCCUGCAAUUUCAGUCAAAAAUCUCAUAUGCAGACAGCAACAACAAUAAAAGUUAUACUUAUAUAACACUUUGAAUAUAAUAAAACAUUGCAAGGCACUUCAAACGAGCAUUAAGCACCAAAAUUAGAUCCUGAAUAUAGAUAACAGCAAUAUAGAUAAAUUGUCUAAACCUUCGUCAUAAUGGUUUUAAGGAGAAUUUUAAAGGAUUAAAGAAGGGUAGAAAGGCAGAGAGGAGUAGGGAGGGAAUUCUAGAUUUUAGCUUAUUCGAAAAUCUUCCAAAUAUUGAAGAAGUUGUUGAAGUGACAGACAGCUUGUCUUCUACAUUUCCAGUAUGCGCUGGCUUAAUUGAAAGCCCAGCUGGUGAUAUGGGCCUUGUAAAUUUUACUCUUGAUGCAUGUGCAACAAUCACAAGCCAGUUUUUUACAGACAGUUUCACAAGCUAAUUACACAUCAUGUACAGCAGAAGUGUUUCCCAUGGAUUCAAGCGUGAGCCUGCAUAAAGCUCCUCUCACACCUCCAACUUUUUCUACUGUCCUACUGAAGGUGCUCACAAAUGCUGGGGUGCAAAUCCAACGUCACUGUAGUACCCUGUUACCUCCUCUGAAUGUUCUUCUGACAGAUAUUCACCAUGACCGCUAUCAGUUUGCACUGUUAGCGUCGCCCAAAGAUCUAAUCUCCUCCAGCCCCACAGACCUCAAAGAUAUCCAUGCUCCUCCAAUUCUGGCCUUUGUAGAAUCCACAGUUCUAAUUGCUCCACUACUGAUGGCCAUACCUUCAUGCAUCUAGUCUUACACUAUCAAAUUCUUUCCUAAAGCUUUUGACUGCCUUUUAUCGCGAGACAUCAAAUACCGUUUAAUAACGCUCCUUGACAAAUCUUGUUAUUGCUGUUGAACCAUAAGGGACAACAGAGUCAAACUGAUCGUGCUUUCCCCUGGUUGGCCAAUGCAUCCGAUCAGGAACAGGAAUCAUGGCUGAUGUUUCUUUUUUCCUAACCUAGAGGCACUAAGGUGGAAUGGAUACUCCUAACUGCUGCUCAGGCUAAUCUUGGUUUACCUUGCCCAGAUUUGAAUUCAAAAUUUUCAUCUCCCUGCAGAUUGGUUGAGCCAUCAGAAGAGAAAAUGUAAAUAAUUUUCAACAUAAUACACAAAAAUACUUCAGAUUAAUCUGUUGCAGAUUCUAUCUUAAUGAUGCAGUAUUGACAUUCCUAACAAGGUUAAUGAAUGACAUCACUAUGUUGAGAACUGUAAUAUCGAUUCUGACAUUUUUCCACUUAACUUCAAUAAAAAUAAAAGUUAAAAGAGAAGUACCAUGCGCUGUUGCUAUACUAUCACACAAAGUCAAAAAUCUACCACCUGAAUCUUAGAUGUAAUGAGCAGAAUUUUUACCAGAAUCAGUUUUGUGUCAAUUUAUGGCACGUUUCAUGGAAGGUUUCUCUCAGUGAGACAUAGCGAGAUUUCUCAUGUGAUUCUCAAAUGACUCAGUACCUGUGCACCACACUUCUGUGGCGCCCCACUCGUCCUAUCUUCCUUCCUGCCAGAGGUGAAAGUACUCGGUAUUGCCAGGAUUCCCUGCAUCACUUUUAAGGUGUUCCUUGCACCAGGUCAAGGGCUCCCAGCCACAAGCUGUCCUUCUUCAUGCAGGUAAUGGGAUGGGAACCAAAAAAGAACCUCUUUACAUUUUAGAACAAAGGUACACAACUUACCUGUCCUUUGCAUCUUGCCAUCUCAGAAUACUGCCUUUUUCUUUCAUUCACAGGAUGUGGGCGUUACAGGACAGGCCAGCAUUUAUUACCCAUCCAUAAUUGCCCAGGGGGUAGUUAAGUGUCAACCACAUUGCUGUGUGUCUGGAGUCACUUGUAAGCCAGACCAGGUAAGGAUGGCAGUUUCCUUCCGUAAUGGACAUGAAUGAACGAUGUGGGUUUUUCUAACUGUUAUUGUUAGACUCCUAAUUCCAGAUAUUCAUUGAAUUCAAACUCAGCCAUCUGCCAUGGCAGGAUUUAAACCUGGGUUUCCAGAACAUUACCAGGGUCAUCGGGUUAAUAGUCUAGCAAUAAUGCUACUGGGCCAUUACAUCCCUCAAUUAUGGUCACAUCUGUAUCCUAGAAUGCUGCCUUCAACCCCUACAAUGGACUUCACUAACUUCCCUAUCAUAACAGUGGCCCUAUUAAACCCUCCCUUGACUUUCAUUAAGCAGACUCCUGGGAAUCACAAAGGUCCCUGAUUGAUCUCUGUGCAGCUCCCCAACUGACGGACUGGGACUUCCGGGACUGGUUAACCUGGACCUGCAAUGCUGACGGCAGCCCAUUUCCCACACUAUAGAGGUAUGGACCCCCUGACGCUGAGCCCCAAGUGGCCGGAUGUGGCAAAUUGUCCUGGUACCAUGUCCAAGUCCCUGGACUAUUCACAAAUGAUGUAGUUGACUUGCUGUGCCAGGAUCCACUGACUGAAGACAGUCUCUCUAGGCCUGAUUGGUGACUAUUACUCCCCACAUGAGACAUGGCUAUUUGGUUGAAGGACAUGCAAUGUGUUUGCUGUAUACGCUGCUGGCACAUGAUACACACCGGUGAUGUGGCACAAUGCCAUACAGCACAUGUCCACCAUUUUAUUGAUUACUGCUGAUAACCAUGACAAACUGCUUGGCUUUGUGCUUGCACUAAACAGCAAAGAAAAACAGAAAUAUUGGGAGUCUUUUAGCUCUGGCUCAAGGGACAAAACGCAAACAGACAAGACAGAAGUACUGUGUGCUUCUAAGUAACGAGUACUAACAGAUGAUUCCUGGGACGUACUCUGGUCGACUCCAUGAGUUGGGUGCCUGUCCCUGUGUGCAAGUUGUCCUGGCAGCAGCAUUAUUAUAAUGGGUGCCGGUGGAGUCUGAAGUGUCAGAUUGAAGUACAGAAUUACAUUGUAAGUGGCUCAGAGAUGUGCCAUGAUGGCACAAUGAGGCUGGUACACAUCCAAUGCCAACGUCCAUGGUUGAGUGUACAGACAGUCACAAUCCAUGAAGCAUGUCCUGAGAUGUUGGUCACUGCUGUCCAAGCUGGAGGCCCAGAGCUGCACGCUGUGCGCUGAAGUCACCAAGUAUCACUUCUGAUCUACAUGCUGGGAACUGUCAGCAUUUCUGUCCACAGUUAGGGUUAGGGAGAUCUCACUCUCUGUGGGAAAUUGGGAGCCUGCAGUCUGAGGCAGGAUUAAUAAUAUAUGCAUGUUAAUGUAUGCACAUGAAUGCAAAAGACCUCUCACCUCUCAUUAGCAGGAUUCCCAUCUCGCCAGUCAAUAAUUGGUUGGAGAAUCAGACUUCUUUCUCUCAACGUCAAAAAUUUCAAGUCUCUUUACCGUAACCAAUUUUCCCAAUUGACUCGAGGAUGCCCACAUCAUUCAGGAGCUGGGAAGCUUCCUCCUGAAGUUUCUUCACUAGACAGCUCAAUGGGAGAGAGAUCUUGGAAAGGCAACAUUUUGAUUUAGAAAAGAAGUUCACUGGGGAAUGUUCAUGCUAAUAAGAACUGCGCUAUUUCUUUUAAUGAAUUUUCUACAUUCAGUUCCUUUUGUACAUCUAUGUUUUUUGUUUGUUUUCUAGUGGUCAGUGGCCAUUGAAUAGUGAGGCUCUUAGAACUAAUGCAAUGUAUCUAGCCUAAAAGGGAAGGAAGGUGACAUCAUCAGUGGACCCUCAGAUGAAGCGGUGUUCUUCUACUCCUCUCGGAAUUUACACUGUCCGGUCCAUUAUGAGGAAGUUGUUACCCAUCAGGAAAGGAGAAAAACCAAAGAUGUUGCCAGACCAGUGGCAGAUGUUGAUGAACAGUGGCAGAUGUUUAAAAAGAAGCUCAUGACUCAAAACAAAGACAUAUCCUGGAUCAUUUUCAGAUUUGUUAUGCUCCAGUGCCAGAUGUGCCAGAGCAAUGAAUGAGGUAUCUCCGCCGCACAAACGAGACUACCAGCAAACGAUGCCAUUUGCUGCUCUCACAACAUGAGCUUCACACCGCGUACCUGAGAACUUUAGCCUUUAUGCUGCAGAUCUCUUUCAGGCUACAGUAUGUGAUCAAUUCUCAGUUAUCCGUUGUAUCAAGGAAGUCACUGAGGCUCUCCAAAAUAGGAGAAACAUCCUCAUUUCCUUUCUUAUAGAGAGAAUGAUGCAAGAAACACCAUGCCUUCACAUGUCAAUCUGUCCCUGGAUAGAAGGUGCCAUAGACUGUACAUAAUUUGCCUUACUUGUUUCCUAUUACCAAUCUGGUAUCUCUACUGAUUGUAAGGGGUUGCACGCUCUCAACAUGAAGCUGACUUGUGACCACAGGCCAUAUGUCUGCACUGUCUGCGAAGCAUAGACUCACAGACUCACAGAGAUAUACAGCACAGAAACAGAUCCUUUCGUCCAACUCAUCCAUGCCAUCCAGAUAUCCUAAAUAAAUCUAGUCCCAUUUGCCAGCAUUUGGCCCAUAUCCCUCUAAACCCUUCCUAUUUGUGUAACUAUUGAGGUGCCUUUUAAAUGUUGUAAUUGUAGCAGCCUCCACUACUUCAUCUGGCAGCUCAUUCCAUACCUGCACCAUCCUCUGCGUGAAAAAGUUGUCCCUUAGGUCCUUUUUAAAUCCUUCCUCUCUCACCUUAAACCUAUACCCUCUAGUUUGGACUCACUCACACUGGGAGAAAGACCUGGCUUUUCACACUAUCCAUGCCCCUUAUGAUUUUAUAAAUCAUUAUAAGGUCACCCCUCAGCCUCUGAUGCUCAGGGAAAAUAGCUCCAGCCUCUCCCGGUAGCUCAAACCCUCCAACCCUGGCAAUAUCCUUGUAAAUCUGUUCUGAACCCUUUGGAGUUUCACAACAUCCUUCCUAUAGCAGGGAGAUGAGAAUUGCCUGCAGUAUUCCAAAAGUAGCCUAACCAAUGUCCUGUACAGCUGCAACAUAACCUCCCAACUACUAUACUAAAUGUACUGACCAAUAAAGGCAAGCAUACCAAAUGCCUUCUUCACUAUCCCAUCUACCUGCGACGCCACUUUCAAGGAACUAUGAACCUGCCCUCCAAGGUCUCUUUGCUCAGCAGCACUCCCCAGGAACUUACCAUAAAGUGUUUAAGUCCUGCUCUGAUUCGCCUUUCUGAAAUGCAGCACCUCACAUUUAUCCAAAUUAAACUCCAUCUGCCACUCCUCAGCCCAUUGGGAGAUCUGAUCAAGAUCCCGUUGUACUCUAAGGUAACAUUGUUUGCUGUCUGCUACACCUCCAAUUUUGGUGUCAUCUUCAAACUUACUUACCAUACCUCCUAUUUGACACAUUGGAGCUAGGGCAUCCAUAACCUUGCAAUUAAUAAAAUAUAUAUUUAUCUCAUGUUUCAUAAGGAAUUUGCCUCUUUACCAAUUGAUUUCUAAUGUAUGGAACAAGGACGUGUAUUUGAGCUUCAUGUCUUAAUCAGGAAUAUUGUACGAUAGAAGUGUUUAAGAAGUCGGUAAUUUGGAAUUGUAUGCAACACAUGUAUUUAUUUUAAUUUGACUCAUUCAAAACAACAGUAACGUGCAGUGAUACUUUAGUGGCAAACAAUCAGCAAAGAGAGUCAUAGAAUCAUAUAGCAUGGAAGUAGGUCCUUUGGCCUAACUCGUCCAUGCCAAAUAGGUUACCUGAACUGAACUAGUCCCAUUUACCUAUGUUUGGUCCAUAUCUCUCUAUAACUUUCCUAUUCCUGUAUCUGUCCAAAUGUCUUGUAAAUGUUAACUGUACCCGCCACAACCACUUCCUCUGGCACCUCGUACUUGACUUUAUUCUUGCUAUGAUAGUUUACCUGUGGCUCAGGUAUAACCACAAGAUUACUACCUUAGAGGUUCACCUUUUGAAUUUAGUACCUAACUGUUUGCACUCUUUCAGUAAAACCUCCUGUCUAGAGCCAACGUGAAUGACGCCAACUAGAUCCCUACUCUCCUGUUCCAAGUUCAUCUCCAGUCAUGAAGCAAUGUCCUUAAUCCUUGGCACUGGGCAGAUAACAUAGCCUUUGGAACUCAUGUUGACGUGUUAAAGAACAGCAUCUAUCACCCUAAUUAUACUGUCCUCUAGGAUUACUAUUACUACUCCAAUUUCCUCGGACAACUUAAAUGGAUCUCUAUACCACAGUGUCCUAUCAGUUCACUCAUCCUCCCCGCAGUGCCCACGCUUGUCCACACCCUCUGCAAGCACCUUGUAUCUGUUGAAAAAUUGCAGGGGCUGAUACUCCUCGAACCUUAUCUCUAGGUCCCUAUACCUGCCGCAGUUGUAGUCAUGCCCUCCUUUCCCUCAUCACAAAUCAAAUUUGAGUGACUACCUCUCAGAACGAGUGUUCAGGUGACGUUCCCCUCCCCUGGUGUGCUGCAAUGUCUGCAGUUCAUACUCCAACUCCUCGAGUCACAUCAAAAGGAUCUUUGUUAGGGCCUUAAUUAUUCAUAUUAUUUUUUAACAACUUGGAUAAAUGGUAUAGAAAGUCAUAUAUCCAAAUUUGCUGAUGACGUAAAGUUAGGCAGCAUUUUAGACAGUUCAGUUGAUAGCAUAAAAUUACAAAGGGCUAUUGACAGACUAUGUGAAUGGACAAAACUGUAGCAGAUGGAGUUCAAUGCAAGUUUGAUGCUAUCAAUUUUGGACCAAGAAAGGAUAGGUCAGGGUACAUUUCUAGAUGGUGUGAAGUUAAAUACAAUGAAUUUCCAAAAAGACUUUGGGGGGAUUCAGGUGCAUAGAUCUUUAAAAUGUCACUAAUAGAUGCAAAAAAUAAUCAAGAAAACUAAUGGAAUGCAGGUCUUUAUAUUUAGAGAACCGGAGUACAAAGAUGCAGAAGUUGUGCUGCAAUUAGACCCACUUGAAGUAAUGUGAGCAUCAAGUUUCCAAGAAGAAUGCAGUUUCUCUGUUGUAGGCUGUCAUAACUACGUCAGACCAUGAUGUUAUAUUUAUUUAUUCUUUCACAGAGUGGUCACCUCUAGAUAGGCCAUCAUGCAUUGCCAAUUCCUAAUUGCCCUAGAAAUAAGUUGGUAGUGAGCUUUUCUGAAUGUGCUGCAAAUCAUGUGGUGUCUAUACACCAUAGUGCUGGCAGGAAGGUUGCUUAGGAAACAGUGAUGUAAAGACAAUACCACUGGGCCAGCAAUCCAAAAAAUCUAGGCUAAUAUUCUAGGAUUAUGGGUUCAAAUUCUACCAUUAAUUGAGCCAAUCAAUCUAGAAUUAAAAGCCAGUCUCAGUAAAGGUGACUGUGAAGCCAUUGUUGAGUCAUUAAUAUCCUUUCUCAUCUACAUGUGACUCCAGACCCACAACAAUGUAGUUGAUCUUAACCUGACCUAGCAGGCAUUUCCGCUUCAUCAAAAUUGUUGCAGAAAACUCGACAGCAUCACAAUAAUUACCUCCCUGUAAGGCAAGAACAACCAGUCAGAUGGCUGUCAAGGUCAACAACAUCUCCAAAUGAGUAAGAAUGGUAGGGAGUUGGAAUCAAGCUAAAAAUGGGAGACAAAUAUAAAGGAAACAAAGAAGUUAGCAAGGAAGGAAGUAAAUGUGGAAACUAGAAAGUAACAUGAUACCCCUGACAGUCCAGAGUCAAUGCAAAUAAAACUAACUGAAAAGAAAUUUCAAGUGCCAGCUUUGAAAUUUUGAAUGAAUUUGAUCAGGUCAAGUACUUCUUCAAAUUAGACAAACCAGUUAGUACCCAAAUGCAUUUAUGGCCAUGAUGGGGACAUGAUGUCCAGAUCUUAAAACAUUAUAUUGAGUGUUCCUAUAGGCAAAAACCUGGGUGGAAUCAAUCAUAUCCAGGGUCAUGUAUUUUUGGCAAGAGGAUCUGUGAAGUUCUUCAGUAUUCAACAGCAUAUAGACAAUGAAGAUAUUAUGUAAUGAAAAACAGUCAAAAUACUAACAAUACUAACAACAAACCACUGAGAGGUAGGCAAACUUGACAGUGCACCAAGAACUGGAUAGUCAUCUUGUUUUGUAAACCUGCUCCAGCGACGAUAGCUAAAUAAUCAGGAGAAUUGUAUACAAUAAUAUUUUCAUAAGCAUUAGCAUAAGUUAUACUUGACUAGCAAAUAAGAAUGUAAUGUGUAUUUUAUAGUACAAGUUAUGGCAUGUCAUGUACCAAAAAGAAUCUUUAAUAUAUCAAACCAACAUCAAAUAUUUGUAUAACAGAAAGAUUACAACAUCAACAUUACAACAUCACCGAAACUGAAAGAUUUUUUUCAUUCAAAACAUUAUUAUGCAUAUUUAGACAAUGGGACUGAUUAGCCAGUGAACCAUUCACAUCGAGUAAAUUUUUACCCACCCUCCACAUUGUUUCAAUCUGAUAGAAUUAGCUUGAACUGGUAUGAAAUGGCGUGGGAGAAUCCACGAGAAUAGUACUUUUUUCCUAAAGCUGACACAACCCUGAGCAACUUAGUAGGAAGGUUUUUCCAGCCACAAAUAAGCGCUUAUUUGAGUUGUGCUCUGUAAAUAAAGUCAUUUGUAAUGUUUGCUCAAGAUUAAGACAUAAGUUUAAAUUGUCCAAAUAGCCAGCAACUGUUACAACAGAGGGAAACAGAGCUUCUGUGAGCAAAGGCUCAUGUAUUAACUAUGAUCCUGCAUUCAUGUGGGGAAUAUGAGUGGUGUGCUUAAGGGCUUUGCCCUCCAGAAGCAAGAAGGUUAAAAGUUUAAAAAAUUGGUACUUGCAUGGAUAGAACACAAUAUCAUGUUUGACAUUUCAAAUUAUUGCAUUCACUGGCCAGAAUUCUAUUUUUAUGUCGAGGGUUUCAUCAGCAGGCUGUCUGUAGAAUCCAUGGUAAAUUUACUGGACGGCAGUGGGCAGUUAACUAAUUAGUUAUUAUCGAGGCUGCCACUCUGUUAAGGAUAGUCACCCAACCCAAGAGCUGUAGGUCAGUUGAAAGGCCAGCAGCUUAGCAGUCUCAGUUGUGCUACCAGGUGCAGAAGUGAAACUCCUUCACGGGCUAAAGAGACUGGACAGUACCAGUCCUAAGUCCACUGAGACACCACCAGGGUUUACUUGUCAAUCUCCCUCUAAGAGUUUACUCGCUGCUGAUUAAAUGCUAGCAGUGGUAGGAACUAGCCAUUAAUUGGUCACGAGUCACUUAAGUGGCUUGUGGGUGCAGCUACUGCAAAAUGGUAUGGUGGUGAGAAGGCAAUGGGCACUUUUCCCCCUGCCUUCCUGUGUCAUUUUACAGCACCCCUGUCUCCCAACACAUAGACAACGGUAUGGUAAAAUCCAUUCCCCUGAGUUACUGUCAAAGUACAGUGAAGGUUGACAUGACUGUUCUAGUGUAUUCUUACCCCACACUUAUCACGCAGACCUGCAAGCUCUGAAAACUCACACUGAAAACAAUUAACUGAUGUAUAUUAAUGAUGUAAAUCUUGGUGUACAGGGGACAAUUUCAAUGUUUGCAGAUGAUACAAAACUUGGAAGAAUUUGUAAACUUAGGAGGAUAGUGUGGAACUCAAAAAGGACAUAGACAAUUUGAUGGAGUAGGCAGAUGAGGUUCAAAGAGAGAAGUAUGAGGUGAUGUAUUUUGGUAAGAAGGUAUUGAAAGACAAUAAAAAAUGGAGGACACAGUUCUAAAUGGAGUGCAGGAGUAGAUGGACCUGGGUAUACAUGUGCAUUGAUCAUUGAAGAUGUUAGGACAGGUGUAGAGAACAGUAAGUAAAGCAAGCAAAAAAUUCAGCUUUAUUAAUAAAGGAAAGAUUAUAAGAGCAAGGAGGUAAUAUUGAACUUGUAUAAGAUACUUGUCACACCUCAUUUGGACUAUUGUGUACUGUGUGUUGAGCUCUCUGUACCACAUUACAGGAAGGAUGUGAACGCAUUGCAGAGAGUACAGAAGCAGUUUACAAGAAUGAUUCUGUUAUGAGCAUAGAUUGGAGAAGCUGGAACUGUUCUCCUCGGAGAGAAGAGUUUUCAAAAUCAUGGAUAGAGUAGAAAGGGAGAAACUAUUCCUGCUUGUAAAAUGAACAAGAAUGAGAGGGCAUAUAUUUAAAGUGAUUUGCAAAAGAAGCAAGGGUGGAAAUAAAAGCUUUUUACACUCAACAAAUGGUUAUGGUGUGAAAUACAUUGCCUGGAAAUAUAGUGGAGGCACUUGAGCCAUUCAAGAGGGGAUUGGACAAUUAUUUGGAUGAAAUAAUGUUUGAGGAUACAGGGAAGAAAAGCAGAUUUGCUUUAAAUAAUGAUGCUCUCUUCAAAGAGCUGGUGCAAGCACAAUGGGACAAAUAACCUCCAGUGUGCCUUAAGACUUCUAUGAUUCUGCGACAUACUAGCCAAAACCAAAUUCACAGAGUUUGACCUAACUUUAUUCUUCAAAGUUAGAAUAGUUUUUGAUCAUUUAUUGGUGGUGUUCAGAUAAAAUCAAUCCUUUAAAAUUCAGAUUUAAUGGACAUUGAUAAGUCUUCAGCAAAAAUGAAUUGCUGUCAGAUAUGGAUGUUUCAAUAGGCCUUCCACCUCCUUCACCAAGAUCCCUUGUGGGACAAUGGGAAAUGUUUUUGCUUGAGUAGUCUGCUGUACAAGGUGUUUGAUUCUGAAAGGGUUAAUGUAUUAAGCUUUAUCCAAAAUGAUGAUGUCAUAAGAUUUGUGGGUGGGAGAAGAGAUCUGGUUCUCAAAGAAUAUUGACCUUCCAUUUAGGUCUUCUCAAAAUCUUAGUAACAAUGUCAAUCAUACCAAUGUAACUUGUACUUGAUUGUUAUUAUGAAAUAAACUACAAAUGCCUUUUCUCAUUUGAUACUAGAGGUUUUCCCCCACAACAUUAGAUAAAUUAAACUCUGUACAAGCCAAACUAAAUGAUGACCAAGAGUACAACUCAUACAACAUGAACAGCAGCAGUAAGAAUUCAUCAUACAACAUGACGCCAGUGGUGGCCAUUGCCUGAUCUCAAAACCCUCUCCCGUGGUCACAGUGUGGAGCUGGAGGAACACAGCAGGUCAGGCAGCAUCAGAGGUGUAGGAAAGUUAACGUUUCUGGUCGGGACCCUUUUUCCGACUCCAGCAUCAGCAGUUCUUACUAUCUCUGACUCUCCCGUGGUCAAUCUCUUUUUCUUCACUGUAUAACACUUUUCUGAAUGAUAUUGGCAGCUCCAGCAGCCAGAAUACUCAUUUCCCUCCGGGACAACUUUACAUACAACUGGCAAAUAACAAUAUUGAGAUUCUACUGAUGCAUAUAGCCAAUGAGCAUUAGGGGCAUGAAAUGAUCAUUGCAAUUAGACAGGAUGGAAUGCUGUCUGUGCUGCUUGAAUGGAUGGAGGAGUUGGGGGAAGAGUGUUUGAUAAUGAUGCAUCUUGACUCUUGUGCCCUUUUCUAGCAGUUAUACAAUUUCGAUGUCCUCAUACCCCAGCACGCCCACCUCCACAACAGUCCCCUUUCUUGGGGAGGGAAAGCACAGGAACAACCAUGUAUCACCAAAGAAAUCAUGCUUAAGAUCUAUGCAGUACCUUUUUAUGAAACAGUGGUGCAUGAUAUAUAUCACUGUAUCAAUAGGUGUAAAACAUAAAAAUUACUCUUCCAAUAUUUAUUUAUAAAGAUAGUGCGUUCUUAAAAUAGAAUAUUACAAGUUCACCAUAAUAAUCUUCCCAACUUUCUGUUAGAGGUUGUUGCAGGUGGCUCCACCUUUGUUUAAUUCUAGUUCUAGGUAAUAUCACACCUCCAUGUAUUUAUUGGAGCAUAGGACGGCCUGUACAGUAGAUUACCUGUUUGCAUCGAUAACAAUGAGCAUCCAAUAAAUUGAAACACAGUUAAAAUGGAAUAUGUUCUACCUUAACAUAUAAUACCAUGUGUUAAGUAAUGAUAACUUACACUUAUUAGAGAAACAUCGUAAUUUCCAGCUGUGCAAUUUCUAAUGUAAUGGAUACCAUCAUUAAGCAACAUUAAAAAAUAAUUAUAAAAAUAAAUGCAACAGCCUUGGGCACAAAAUAAACUUUGCAUGAAAUUACAAUUUCA